CCCUUAGAUGUUCUGGGCCGCACGCGCGCUACACUGAAUGGAUCAACGUGUUUUCCCUUCCCGAGAGGGACGGGUAACCCGCUGAACCCCAUUCGUGGUAGGGAUCGGAGCUUGCAAUUGUUCUCCGUGAACCAGGAAUUCCCAGUAAGCGCAAGUCAUAAGCUUGCGUUGAUUACGUCCCUGCCCUUUGUACACACCGCCCGUCGCACCUACCGAUUGAAUGGUCCGGUGAGGACUCGGGAUUGUGGUUUAGCUCCUUCAUUGGGGCCUGACUGCGAGAACUUGUCCGAACCUUAUCAUUUAGAGGAAGGUGAANUCGUANCA
This 324-nucleotide ribosomal RNA is filed under the name uncultured eukaryote. RNAcentral describes it as "partial 18S ribosomal RNA". It matches the Rfam family "Eukaryotic small subunit ribosomal RNA", at positions 1470 to 1796 of the family's 1831-position model. The record is from RNAcentral.